RNAcentral lists this ribosomal RNA (559 nucleotides) under uncultured methanogenic archaeon. Its description in RNAcentral is "bacterial SSU rRNA". It matches the Rfam family "Archaeal small subunit ribosomal RNA", at positions 86 to 650 of the family's 1478-position model. The record is from RNAcentral. Lineage: Archaea; Methanobacteriati; Methanobacteriota.
UAGCUCAGUACACGUGGAUAAUCUGCCCUAUGGUGGAGGAUAACCCCGGGAAACUGGGGAUAAUACUCCAUAAGUCAGGAGUACUGGAAUGUCUCCUAACUGAAAGUUGCGGCGCCAUAGGAUGAAUCUGCGGCCGAUUAGGUAGUUGUUGGGGUAACGGCCCAACAAGCCCGUAAUCGGUACGGGUUGUGGGAGCAAGAGCCCGGAGAUGGAAUCUGAGACACGAUUCCAGGCCCUACGGGGCGCAGCAGGCGCGAAAACUUUACAAUGCAGGAAACUGUGAUAAGGGAACCCCGAGUGCCCGUAAACGCGGGCUGUCCCGGUGUAUAAAACAAAAAAAAAAGAAAGGGCCGGGCAAGACCGGUGCCAGCCGCCGCGGUAAUACCGGCGGCUCGAGUGGUGACCACUUUUAUUGGGCUUAAAGCGUUCGUAGCUUGAUUUUUAAGUCUCUUGGGAAAUCUCACGGCUUAACUGUGAGGCGUCUAAGAGAUACUGGGAAUCUAGGGACCGGGAGAGGUAAGAGGUACUUCAGGGGUAGAAGUGAAAUUCUGUAAUCCUG